GCCCGGCACAGUAGUGCAUGCCUACAGUCCCAGCUACUCAGGAGGCUGAGGCAGGAGGAUGGCUUGAGCCCAGGAGUUCAAGGGCGGCCUGGGCAACACUGUGAGACCCUGUCUCUG
Molecule: small RNA, 117 nt
Filed under: Marmota monax (woodchuck)
Lineage: Eukaryota; Metazoa; Chordata; Mammalia; Rodentia; Sciuridae
Source: RNAcentral